Molecule: non-coding RNA, 197 nt
Organism: Arachis ipaensis
Lineage: Eukaryota; Viridiplantae; Streptophyta; Magnoliopsida; Fabales; Fabaceae
Source: RefSeq, a predicted model, not a curated record
UCUUCUUUUAUGAAUGUAGUGAGAGAUAUGAAAUAUUAAGUGACGAACUGGAUGAAUGGCUAAGGCAAAACGUUGAUAAAUCUGCUGCAGAGGGGGAGAACCAAGCUGACCUGCAAUCGACAGAAGGUCGCUAUGUGUCCUCUGAAACAAUACCGGCUGUGAACUUGGGAAGUGAUGAUCCUUCCUCUCAAGGACGC